CGAGAGCAAGGAAUAAUUGUAUCAAUAAAAAAGAAAAGGAAGAGAUCAUUCGAUUUAUGUGAUUCUUCUGUCUUCCAUUUCUCUCUUGACACAGUUUGUUCCUUCUCCCCUCUCCCU
Molecule: non-coding RNA, 117 nt
Filed under: Fragilariopsis kerguelensis
Lineage: Eukaryota; Bacillariophyta; Bacillariophyceae; Bacillariales; Bacillariaceae
Source: RNAcentral